Molecule: non-coding RNA, 1181 nt
Organism: Equus caballus (horse)
Lineage: Eukaryota; Metazoa; Chordata; Mammalia; Perissodactyla; Equidae
Source: RefSeq, a predicted model, not a curated record
UUUGAUGUGUUUCAAUCCAUUGCAAUUAUCCCCACUGAUGCUCAAAUUAUCCAUCAUCAGCCAGUGGAAGCCCCUUCCAUUGGUUCCUGAAUCCUUUUAAUGCAUAAUCCUCACUACCUAGUGCCACAAGAUGUUCAGGUUGAUCUUGUAUAUUUCCCAUUCAGACCUGGACUCAGCCAUUUCUCCUCGAAGCCCUGGUUCUUUUUAAUGGAAAAGGAAUUAAAGUUGUUAUGUACCAUAUGGGGUCACAGAAUCAAAGACCCGGGCCGUAGGUGUUGAAGGAGAUGUCACCUUGGUGAGCAAAGCUAUACUAGAAUCCUCUAGAACUCAGAAUUCCACUGGGCACUAUUCACACCAACCUCCUCUCAAGCUGUUGAUCUAAGAAAAGGAUGCUAUUAUCUCCCAAGCAGACAGCGUGGGGCCAAGCUGACGGCUUUGUUUCAUUCAAUCCAAGUUUUUCUGCCGUUACGAGUAAUAUGAAGAGGACAUAUCCUUGUACCUCUGUCCAUGUAUUCACCAACUAUUUAUCGAGCAUCUAAUGAUUACUGGACACGGUGCUAGGUGCUGGGGUGCGAGGCGGUAAAAAAGAUGGACACAGUUCCCAUCUUCAUGGACCUUGCAGUACAACAGAGAAACAGGAGAAUUAAAUGGCUGACUGUUUACGACACAGAACAAGACUUGACAUACAGGGAUGGAGCAGCUCAGAGUCCAUCUGAAGGAGGCAGAAGGGGUAGCAUUUUCUGGCAUCAGAGUCGAACACAUUACAAGACCUAGGAAAUUUGGCUCUAAGAUGUCUGACAAAGAAGCAGAAAGAAACACACCUCCAUGCCGUGAGGAAGCCCAGGCAGCCACACAGAGGAGAAGCAAAGCCCUCAGCCAGCAAUCCCCACUGACCACGCAGCCAUCAACCAGUGCCAGCUUGCCAGCCAGCAAUAGGUGACUGAAAUACUGGGUGAGCUCUCCAGCGAGUGUCAUGGAAGCCUUUCCUGCUCAGCUGGGGAUGAAGCCGAUGACACCCCCUUUCCUUCCCACGUGGGUACAUGGAGGACUCAGCAUGGCAACAGAUCUCUCCAAGGAAGACUCUUCACACGUCAUCCCCUCUCCCCACGCUCUAACUGAUUUUCAGAUCCCUGAUCUGCCUGAGGCAUCCAAGAGAUGUAGAACCAGUUCUUAAAACUCCU